This 294-nucleotide ribosomal RNA is filed under the name Triticum aestivum (bread wheat). RNAcentral's name for it is "partial small subunit ribosomal RNA". Lineage: Eukaryota; Viridiplantae; Streptophyta; Magnoliopsida; Poales; Poaceae. The record is from RNAcentral.
AUGGCGUUCAGCAGACUCAACGGCCAGAUGGAAGCCAAGGCAGCCGCGGUUUUGUUCAUUGUGCUCCUUGGAUGCUCCAUGCUCAUGUUGGUCUCCUCAACUGAUGGUGAGAUCGGCAGAUCAGGUUGUCCUCGUCUUUCGGAUGGCGAUGCCAUAGGCAAAGACGACACCCCGUUCCCAAAAAUGUGCAUAGGGAGGAGACACGGCCCUGAGAACGUCGAAUUCUGUUGUGCAACAUUGCCAGGACUACCUUGCUGGCGAACGCAGGAAGAGUGCCUCCACGUUUGCCCAUAG